UACGUAGGAUGCAAGCGUUGUCCGGAUUUAUUGGGUUUAAAGGGUGCGUAGGCGGCCUAUUAAGUUAGUGGUGAAAACGUUCGGCUUAACCGGAUACCCGCCAUUGAUACUGAUAGACUUGAGUGCGACAGAGGGUGUUGGAAUGUGUGGUGUAGCGGUGAAAUGCUUAGAUAUCACGCAGAACACCAAUUGCGAAGGCAGAUGCCUAUGUCGUAACUGACGAUGAGGCGCGAAGGCGUGGGGAGCAAACAGG
RNAcentral lists this ribosomal RNA (253 nucleotides) under uncultured bacterium. RNAcentral's name for it is "partial 16S ribosomal RNA". It matches the Rfam family "Bacterial small subunit ribosomal RNA", at positions 524 to 776 of the family's 1533-position model. The record is from RNAcentral.